GUGCCAGCAGCCGCGGUAAUACGUAGGUGGCAAGCGUUGUCCGGAAUUAUUGGGCGUAAAGCGCGCGCAGGCGGUCCUUUAAGUCUGAUGUGAAAGCCCACGGCUCAACCGUGGAGGGUCAUUGGAAACUGGGGGACUUGAGUGCAGAAGAGGAAAGUGGAAUUCCACGUGUAGCGGUGAAAUGCGUAGAGAUGUGGAGGAACACCAGUGGCGAAGGCGACUUUCUGGUCUGUAACUGACGCUGAGGCGCGAAAGCGUGGGGAGCAAACAGGAUUAGAUACCCUGGUAGUCCACGCCGUAAACGAUGAGUGCUAAGUGUUAGGGGGUUUCCGCCCCUUAGUGCUGCAGCUAACGCAUUAAGCACUCCGCCUGGGGAGUACGGCCGCAAGUCUGAAACUCAAAGGAAUUGACGGGGGCCCGCACAGGCGGUGGAAGCAUGUGGUUUAAUUCGAAGCAACGCGAAGAACCUUACCAGGUCUUGACAUCCCGCUGACCGCCUAGGAGACUAGGCUUUCCCUUCGGGACAGCGGUGACAGGUGGUGCAUGGUUGUCGUCAGCUCGUGUCGUGAGAUGUUGGGUUAAGUCCCGCAACGAGCGCAACCCUUGAUCUUAGUUGCCAGCAUUCAGUUGGGCACUCUAAGGUGACUGCCGUGACAAACCGAAGAAGUGGGGAUGACGUCAAAUCAUCAUGCCCUUAUGACUGGCUACACACGUGCUACAUGACGUACAAAGGGCUGCAAACCCGCGAGGGGAGCAUCCAGAAAACGUCUCAGUCGAUGCAGCUGCACUCGCCUGCAUGAGCGGAAUCGCUAGUAAUCGCGGAUCAGCAU
RNAcentral lists this ribosomal RNA (830 nucleotides) under uncultured bacterium. RNAcentral's name for it is "bacterial SSU rRNA". It matches the Rfam family "Bacterial small subunit ribosomal RNA", at positions 505 to 1355 of the family's 1533-position model. The record is from RNAcentral.